Molecule: ribosomal RNA, 471 nt
Filed under: uncultured Sphingobacteriales bacterium
Lineage: Bacteria; Pseudomonadati; Bacteroidota; Sphingobacteriia; Sphingobacteriales
Description: bacterial SSU rRNA
Rfam family: Bacterial small subunit ribosomal RNA
Source: RNAcentral
UUCGCGGGGCCCGCACAAGCGGAGGAGCAUGUGGUUUAAUUCGAUGAUACGCGAGGAACCUUACCUGGGCUCGAACGUAAGAUGACUGUAGGUGAAAGCUUACAUCUCUUCGGAGCAUUUUACGAGGUGCUGCAUGGUUGUCGUCAGCUCGUGCCGUGAGGUGUCGGGUUAAGUCCCAUAACGAGCGCAACCCCUACCUUUAGUUGCCAUCAGGUUAAGCUGGGGACUCUAAAGGAACUGCCUACGCAAGUAGUGAGGAAGGCGGGGAUGACGUCAAAUCAGCACGGCCCUUACGUCCAGGGCUACACACGUGCUACAAUGGCCGAUACAGAGGGCAGCUACCUGGUGACAGGAUGCAAAUCUCCAAAGUCGGUCUCAGUUCGGAUCGGAGUCUGCAACCCGACUCCGUGAAGUUGGAUUCGCUAGUAAUCGCGCAUCAGCCAUGGCGCGGUGAAUACGUUCCCGGGCCUU